AUUGAACGCUGGCGGCAUGCCUUACACAUGCAAGUCGAACGGUAACGGGCCUUCGGGUGCCGACGAGUGGCGCACGGGUGAGUAAUACAUCGGAACGUGCCCGAUCGUGGGGGAUAACGAGGCGAAAGCUUUGCUAAUACCGCAUACGAUCUACGCAUGAAAGCAGGGGACCGCAAGGCCUUGCGUGGACGGAGCGGCCGAUGGCAGAUUAGGUAGUUGGUGGGAUAAAAGCUUACCAAGCCGACGAUCUGUAGCUGGUCUGAGAGGAUGAUCAGCCACACUGGGACUGAGACACGGACCAGACUCCUACGGGAGGCAGCAGUGGGGAAUUUUGGACAAAGGGCGCAAGCCUGAUCCAGCCAUGCCGCGUGCAGGAUGAAGGCCUUCGGGUUGUAAACUGCUUUUGUACGGAACGAAAAGCCUUCUUUUAAUACAGGAGGGUCAUGACGGUACCGUAAGAAUAAGCACCGGCUAACUACGUG
This 482-nucleotide ribosomal RNA is filed under the name uncultured bacterium. Its description in RNAcentral is "partial 16S ribosomal RNA". It matches the Rfam family "Bacterial small subunit ribosomal RNA", at positions 30 to 507 of the family's 1533-position model. The record is from RNAcentral.